AAUAGAGUGUCAAGCAGGCAGAUCAAUUUGNCUUGACACGAAUACAUUAGCAUGGGCAUAAUGGAAUAGGACCCUGUCCUCCUAUUUUCAGUUGGUUUUGGCAGCGCGAGGACUAGGGUAAUGAUUAAUAGGGAUAGUUGGGGGCAUUAAUAUUUAAUUGUCAGAGGUGAAAUUCUUGGAUUUAUGAAAGAUUAACUUCUGCGAAAGCAUCUGCCAAGGAUGUUUUCAUUAAUCAAGAACGAAAGUUAGGGGAUCGAAGACGAUCAGAUACCGUCGUAGUCUUAACCAUAAACGAUGCCGACCAGCGAUUAGGAGACGUUGAAUACAAAACACCACCAUCGGUGCGGUCGUCCUUGGCGUCGGUUUCGGCCGGCGCGGGGGCGGCUUAGCCCGGUGGCACCGGUGAAUGACUCCCCUAGCAGCUUGU
RNAcentral lists this ribosomal RNA (427 nucleotides) under Acanthamoeba sp. IA1/T4. RNAcentral describes it as "SSU rRNA". It matches the Rfam family "Eukaryotic small subunit ribosomal RNA", at positions 765 to 1091 of the family's 1831-position model. The record is from RNAcentral. Lineage: Eukaryota; Discosea; Longamoebia; Acanthamoebidae.